Molecule: ribosomal RNA, 305 nt
Filed under: uncultured bacterium
Lineage: Bacteria
Description: bacterial SSU rRNA
Rfam family: Bacterial small subunit ribosomal RNA
Source: RNAcentral
UUCCUACGGGGCGCAGCAGUGGGGAAUAUUGCACAAUGGGGGAAACCCUGAUGCAGCGACGCCGCGUGAGCGAGGAAGUACCUCGGUAUGUAAAGCUCCGUCAGCAGGGAAGAAAAUGACAGUACCUGACCAAGAAGCCCCGGCUAACUACGUGCCAGCAGCCGCGGUAAUACGUAGGGGGCGAGCGUUAUCCGGAUUUACUGGGUGUAAAGGGAGCGUAGACGGCCAUGCAAGCUCGGUGUGAAAGGUGCGGGCACAACCCGCAGACUGCACUGAGAACUGUAUGGCUGGAGUGCCGGAGGGGC